CACGCAGGCGGACCGACAGGUCGUUUGUGAAAGGCGAGGGCUCAACCCUUGUUUGUCGGACGAAACCGUCGGACUGGAGUACCGGAGAGGGAAGUGGAAUUCCCGGUGUAGAGGUGAAAUUCGUAGAUAUUCGCAAGAACACCAGUGGCGAAGGCGACUCUCUGGACUGUAACUGACGCUGAGGCUCGAAGGCGUGGGGAGCAAACAG
RNAcentral lists this ribosomal RNA (208 nucleotides) under uncultured bacterium. RNAcentral describes it as "partial 16S ribosomal RNA". It matches the Rfam family "Bacterial small subunit ribosomal RNA", at positions 568 to 775 of the family's 1533-position model. The record is from RNAcentral.